CUUGACCGAGCCGAGCCAGAGCGGUUCCGGCCGGUCCUGGCCGUAGGCCGCGAGCAACGCCUGGGCCUC
RNAcentral lists this antisense RNA (69 nucleotides) under Lentzea waywayandensis. Its description in RNAcentral is "ASpks TB sRNA". It matches the Rfam family "ASpks TB sRNA". Lineage: Bacteria; Bacillati; Actinomycetota; Actinomycetes; Pseudonocardiales; Pseudonocardiaceae. The record is from RNAcentral.